UGGGGAAUAUUGGACAAUGGGGGCAACCCUGAUCCAGCAAUGCCGCGUGUGUGAUGAAGGCCUUAGGGUUGUAAAGCACUUUCACUGGUGAAGAUGAUGACGGUAACCAGAGAAGAAGCCCCGGCUAACUUCGUGCCAGCAGCCGCGGUAAUACGAAGGGGGCGAGCGUUGUUCGGAAUUACUGGGCGUAAAGGGCGCGUAGGCGGUCUUUUAAGUUAGGCGUGAAAUCCCCGGGCUCAACCUGGGAACUGCGUUUAAAACUGAAAGACUAGAAAACGGAAGAGGGUAGUGGAAUUCCCAGUGUAGAGGUGAAAUUCGUAGAUAUUGGGAAGAACACCAGUGGCGAAAGCGGCUACCUGGUCCGAUUUUGACGCUGAGGCGCGAAAGCGUGGGGAGCAAACAGG
RNAcentral lists this ribosomal RNA (404 nucleotides) under uncultured bacterium. RNAcentral describes it as "bacterial SSU rRNA". It matches the Rfam family "Bacterial small subunit ribosomal RNA", at positions 355 to 776 of the family's 1533-position model. The record is from RNAcentral.